This 1369-nucleotide ribosomal RNA is filed under the name Lactiplantibacillus plantarum. Its description in RNAcentral is "bacterial SSU rRNA". It matches the Rfam family "Bacterial small subunit ribosomal RNA", at positions 67 to 1408 of the family's 1533-position model. The record is from RNAcentral. Lineage: Bacteria; Bacillati; Bacillota; Bacilli; Lactobacillales; Lactobacillaceae.
CUGGUAUUGAUUGGUGCUUGCAUCAUGAUUUACAUUUGAGUGAGUGGCGAACUGGUGAGUAACACGUGGGAAACCUGCCCAGAAGCGGGGGAUAACACCUGGAAACAGAUGCUAAUACCGCAUAACAACUUGGACCGCAUGGUCCGAGUUUGAAAGAUGGCUUCGGCUAUCACUUUUGGAUGGUCCCGCGGCGUAUUAGCUAGAUGGUGGGGUAACGGCUCACCAUGGCAAUGAUACGUAGCCGACCUGAGAGGGUAAUCGGCCACAUUGGGACUGAGACACGGCCCAAACUCCUACGGGAGGCAGCAGUAGGGAAUCUUCCACAAUGGACGAAAGUCUGAUGGAGCAACGCCGCGUGAGUGAAGAAGGGUUUCGGCUCGUAAAACUCUGUUGUUAAAGAAGAACAUAUCUGAGAGUAACUGUUCAGGUAUUGACGGUAUUUAACCAGAAAGCCACGGCUAACUACGUGCCAGCAGCCGCGGUAAUACGUAGGUGGCAAGCGUUGUCCGGAUUUAUUGGGCGUAAAGCGAGCGCAGGCGGUUUUUUAAGUCUGAUGUGAAAGCCUUCGGCUCAACCGAAGAAGUGCAUCGGAAACUGGGAAACUUGAGUGCAGAAGAGGACAGUGGAACUCCAUGUGUAGCGGUGAAAUGCGUAGAUAUAUGGAAGAACACCAGUGGCGAAGGCGGCUGUCUGGUCUGUAACUGACGCUGAGGCUCGAAAGUAUGGGUAGCAAACAGGAUUAGAUACCCUGGUAGUCCAUACCGUAAACGAUGAAUGCUAAGUGUUGGAGGGUUUCCGCCCUUCAGUGCUGCAGCUAACGCAUUAAGCAUUCCGCCUGGGGAGUACGGCCGCAAGGCUGAAACUCAAAGGAAUUGACGGGGGCCCGCACAAGCGGUGGAGCAUGUGGUUUAAUUCGAAGCUACGCGAAGAACCUUACCAGGUCUUGACAUACUAUGCAAAUCUAAGAGAUUAGACGUUCCCUUCGGGGACAUGGAUACAGGUGGUGCAUGGUUGUCGUCAGCUCGUGUCGUGAGAUGUUGGGUUAAGUCCCGCAACGAGCGCAACCCUUAUUAUCAGUUGCCAGCAUUAAGUUGGGCACUCUGGUGAGACUGCCGGUGACAAACCGGAGGAAGGUGGGGAUGACGUCAAAUCAUCAUGCCCCUUAUGACCUGGGCUACACACGUGCUACAAUGGAUGGUACAACGAGUUGCGAACUCGCGAGAGUAAGCUAAUCUCUUAAAGCCAUUCUCAGUUCGGAUUGUAGGCUGCAACUCGCCUACAUGAAGUCGGAAUCGCUAGUAAUCGCGGAUCAGCAUGCCGCGGUGAAUACGUUCCCGGGCCUUGUACACACCGCCCGUCACACCAUGAG